Molecule: ribosomal RNA, 1368 nt
Filed under: human gut metagenome
Description: bacterial LSU rRNA
Rfam family: Bacterial large subunit ribosomal RNA
Source: RNAcentral
UGAUGAUCGGGAGUCAGACAGUGUGAGAUAAGUUUCAUUGUCGAAAGGGAAACAGCCCAGAUCUACGACUAAGGUCCCAAAGUUCAAGUUAAGUGGAAAAGGAUGUGCAAUUGCGUAGACAACCAGGAUGUUGGCUUAGUAGCAGCCAUUCAUUCAAAGAGUGCGUAAUAGCUCACUGGUCGAGUGAUUGUGCGCCGAAAAUGUAACGGGGCUAAACUUGACACCGAAGUCUAGGCAGAAGGAAACUUCUGGGUAGGGGAGCAACGUGUACGGGCAGAAGCAGAAGCGGAAGCGACUGUGGACUGUACAGGAGAGAGAAUGCCGGCAUGAGUAGCGAGAGCAAAGUGAGAAUCUUUGCCGUCGAAAGCCUAAGGUUUCCUGAGGAAGGCUCGUCCUCUCAGGGUAAGUCGGGACCUAAGCCGAGGACAACAGUCGUAGGCGAUGGACAAUCGGUUAAUAUUCCGAUACCGCCGAGCAACCGGAUGCAGUGACACAGAAGGAUAGGCAGAGCGUGGCGAUGGUAGACCACGUCCAAGCAGUGAGGCUGUUGUGUAGUGAAGUACGCACAACGUAAGGCUGGGCUGUGAUGGGGAACGAUUACGAUCGGUAAGCUGCUGAAUUCACGCUGGCGAGAAAAGCUGCUACGAAGCGAAGGCGCCCGUACCGCAAACCGACACAGGUAGGCGAGGAGAGAAUCCUAAGACGAGCGGGAGAACCCUUGUUAAGGAACUCGGCAAAAUGACUCCGUAACUUAGGGAGAAGGAGUGCCCAGGAAUGGGCCGCAGAGAAUAGACCCAAGCGACUGUUUACCAAAAACACAGGUCUGUGCGAAGUAGAGAUACGACGUAUACGGGCUGACACCUGCCCAGUGCCGGAAGGUUAAGGGGAAAUGUUAGGGCAACCGAAGCAUGGAACUUAAGCCCCGGUGAACGGCGGCCGUAACUAUAACGGUCCUAAGGUAGCGAAAUUCCUUGUCGGGUAAGUUCCGACCCGCACGAAUGGUGUAACGAUUUGGGUACUGUCUCAACAAGGGACCCGGCGAAAUUGUAGUAUGUGUGAAGAUGCACAUUACCCGCGAUAGGACGGAAAGACCCCGUAGAGCUUUACUGUAGUUUAACAUUGGAUUCCGGUAACAUAUGCACAGGAUAGGUGGGAGGCGGAGAAGCAGUGAUUUCGGUUGCUGCAGAGCCGACGUUGGGAUACCACUCUUGUGUUACUGGGGUUCUAACCUGUGGCCGUGAUCCGGCACAGGAACAGUGUUAGAUGGGCAGUUUGACUGGGGCGGUCGCCUCCAAAAGAGUAACGGAGGCGUCCAAAGGUUCCCUCAGAAUGGUUGGAAACCAUUCGAAGAGUGCAAAGGCAGAAGGG